Molecule: ribosomal RNA, 502 nt
Filed under: uncultured bacterium
Lineage: Bacteria
Description: bacterial SSU rRNA
Rfam family: Bacterial small subunit ribosomal RNA
Source: RNAcentral
AUCAUGGCUCAGGAUGAACGCUAGCUACAGGCUUAACACAUGCAAGUCGAGGGAAACGAUAGAGAAAGCUUGCUUUUUCUAGGCGUCGACCGGCGCACGGGUGAGUAACGCGUAUCCAACCUGCCCACCACUUGGGGAUAACCUUGCGAAAGUAAGACUAAUACCCAAUGACGUCUCUAGAAGACAUCUGAAAGAGAUUAAAGAUUUAUCGGUGAUGGAUGGGGAUGCGUCUGAUUAGCUUGUUGGCGGGGUAACGGCCACCAAGGCGACGAUCAGUAGGGGUUCUGAGAGGAAGGUCCCCCACAUUGGAACUGAGACACGGUCCAAACUCCUACGGGAGGCAGCAGUGAGGAAUAUUGGUCAAUGGACGAGAGUCUGAACCAGCCAAGUAGCGUGCAGGAUGACGGCCCUAUGGGUUGUAAACUGCUUUUAUAAGGGAAUAAAGUGAGUCUCGUGAGGCUUUUUGCAUGUACCUUAUGAAUAAGGACCGGCUAAUUCCGUG